GACGAACGCUGGCGGCGUGCCUAAUACAUGCAAGUAGAACGCUGAAGGCGGAGCUUGCUUCUCUGGAUGAGUUGCGAACGGGUGAGUAACGCGUAGGUAACCUGCCUGGUAGCGGGGGAUAACUAUUGGAAACGAUAGCUAAUACCGCAUAAGAGUAGAUGUUGCAUGACAUUUGCUUAAAAGGUGCAAUUGCAUCACUACCAGAUGGACCUGCGUUGUAUUAGCUAGUUGGUGGGGUAACGGCUUACCAAGGCGACGAUACAUAGCCGACCUGAGAGGGUGAACCGCCACACUGGGAGUGAGACACGGCCCAGACUCCUACAGGAGGCAGCAGUAGGGACGCUUGGGAAAUGGACGGAAGUCUGAACGAGGAACGCCGGGCGAGUGCAGAAGGGUUUCGGGUCGGAAAGCGCUGUUGUAAGAGAAGAACGAGUGUGAGAGUGGAAAGUUCACACUGUGACGGUAUCUGAACAGAAAGGGACGGCUAACUACGUG
This 495-nucleotide ribosomal RNA is filed under the name uncultured bacterium. RNAcentral's name for it is "partial 16S ribosomal RNA". It matches the Rfam family "Bacterial small subunit ribosomal RNA", at positions 28 to 507 of the family's 1533-position model. The record is from RNAcentral.